GACGUAGGGCGCGAGCGUUGUCCGGAUUUAUUGGGCGUAAAGAGCUCGUAGGCGGUCUGUUGCGUCCGCUGUGAAAACUCGGGGCUUAACCCCGAGCCUGCAGUGGAUACGGGCAGACUAGAGGUAGGUAGGGGAGAAUGGAAUUCCCGGUGUAGCGGUGAAAUGCGCAGAUAUCGGGAGGAACACCGGUGGCGAAGGCGGCUCGCUGGGACGUUACUGACGCUGAGACGCGAAAGCGUGGGGAGCGAACAGG
RNAcentral lists this ribosomal RNA (253 nucleotides) under uncultured bacterium. Its description in RNAcentral is "partial 16S ribosomal RNA". It matches the Rfam family "Bacterial small subunit ribosomal RNA", at positions 524 to 776 of the family's 1533-position model. The record is from RNAcentral.